CCGUAGUGUACAAUGACAUGUAGGUAAACUUAUCGCAUUUCUAAGUUGAGUCCCUCUCUUUCUCUUUUGAGGGAAAAAAAUAAUAUUUAUUUAGCAGUUGUAUUGUAACGCAGAGAUCAAUUUUUUUUUAGAAUUUACAUGCUCUGCUACGAAGAAAAUCUAUCAACAGAUAAAUUGGGUAUCGGAGUGAAGGAUUCAGGUGGGCAAAAGCCAUAGUCGCCGCCUAUGUUAGUGGCUUUUGUCUGCCCAUUCUUUUUCAGGGCUUACCUCUGCUUUUUCAGACACUAUUUGAUCAAGAAAGCCCUUGUCUCUGCAGCACUGAAUAGCUCCACCGAACAUAUCUUCAAGACCAAACCCAAACUUGAACCCCAAGUCCAAGAGUUUCAUUGAUGAGAGAUUAGAUAGUCUAGAAUCUUCAUUCUCCUUCACGUUAUUCAUGGCCGGUAUUUGAAAUUCCUGGAAUUUUGCAGAAAGAAAUUGGACCAAAGAACGAGUGGUCAUUUGAAGAUAGGAACAAAUGUAUCUCCCUUUUGCA
This 535-nucleotide unclassified non-coding RNA is filed under the name Hevea brasiliensis (rubber tree). Lineage: Eukaryota; Viridiplantae; Streptophyta; Magnoliopsida; Malpighiales; Euphorbiaceae. The record is from RNAcentral.